UAAAUCUUGUGAUUAAAGUUGAAGUGUACAACUCUACUAUCACUAAAUUUGGAAUAACAUCUUACUGAUGUGAUAGAUUACCUAACCAUUUCAAAAUAAAUGAAUUUCCCAACUUUUGGAAUAGUGAAUCACUUUUGACGACCGUGUUGUUCAGACUAGCUUAUGUGCACCUCGACUAUUUCAUCAAAUACUUGAUAGACUGCUACUUACUACCAGCACAAGCAUAAGAUAACUCUACUUAUGAAAGCUUAAGCAGCAUCUAACAUUAUUGAAUUUGCAUUAUUCUGGU
RNAcentral lists this long non-coding RNA (289 nucleotides) under Solanum tuberosum (potato). Its description in RNAcentral is "long non-coding RNA (STUB_LNC000990)". The record is from RNAcentral. Lineage: Eukaryota; Viridiplantae; Streptophyta; Magnoliopsida; Solanales; Solanaceae.